RNAcentral lists this ribosomal RNA (1302 nucleotides) under Poecilimon thoracicus. Its description in RNAcentral is "16S ribosomal RNA". The stretch from base 870 to 1235 matches the Rfam family "Bacterial large subunit ribosomal RNA", at positions 2072 to 2648 of the family's 2925-position model. The record is from RNAcentral. Lineage: Eukaryota; Metazoa; Arthropoda; Insecta; Orthoptera; Tettigoniidae.
AGAAUAUUAUUUAAGUUGUUUAAUUAGAGGUUAUUAAUUAAAAUAAUAUUGGUGAAUAUGUUUUAGUAUAGUUUAUGGAAUCUAUGGAAUGAAUAAUAGGGUAAUAGUACUGUGAAGGAAGGAUGAAAUAGAUGAAAUAAUUAUUGGAGUGGAAGAAGAAUAGAAUUUGUACCUUGUGUGUCAGGGUUUAUUAAUUAAUAAUAAUGAUUUGUAGUUCUCGAAUUUAAAAGAGCUAGAGUAGUAUUGUAGUUAAUGUGGUAUUAUUAUUACUAAUAUUAUUUUAGGGAUGAAAUGUUAGUCGUUUUUUAAGUUAUCUAGUUCUUCAAGAAAUGGAUUUAAUUCAUGUUAUUGAGAGUAAGAAUUUAAUUUAUAAUUAAUGAAUUAUUUUUGAUAACAAAUAUAUAAGGGGAUAAGCUUUUAUAUAAAGGUUAUAAAUUACAAGGUUUAAUGAGAGAGUAGUAGGCUUUAAAUUAGCCAUCAAUGGAAUAAUGUUAUAAGUUGUUUUGUGAUUAAAUUAUUUUUUAAUAGUUUUAGUUUGUUUAUUGAAGUAUUAUAUGGAAUAGGUUAAUAUAAGUGAUGAUGAUAAAAUGAGUAUAUGAGGGGUGUUUAUUUUUGAUAUUUAUGGAAUUUAUAAUAAGGAACUAGGCAAAUUAUUACUCCCCUGUUUACCAAAACCAUCUCUUUUUGUAUUUAUGUAAAGUAGGGCCUGCCCACUGAAGUUAUUUGAAGGGCCGCGGUAUUAUGACCGUGCCAAGGUAGCAUAAUCAUUARUCUUUUAAUUGAGGGCUGGAAUGAAUGGUUUGACCAGGUAAUAGCUGUCUCAUUAUAAUAUAUAGAAGUUAACUUUUGAGUUAAAAGGCUUAAAUUUUGAUGGAGGACGAAAAGACCCUAUAGAGCUUUAUAUAUAAAUUUAAAUUUGUAUUUAGAAGUUUAUAAGAAUUUGGAUUGAUUAUAUUAUGUUGGGGUGACAUAAAGAUAUAAUUAACUCUUUAUUUAUGGAACAUUGAUAUAUGGGUGUUUGAUCCAUUUUUAAUGAUCAUAAGAUUAAGUUACCUUAGGGAUAACAGCGUAAUUUUUCUUGAGAGUUCAUAUCAACAGAGAAGAUUGCGACCUCGAUGUUGGAUUAAGGAAUAUAAUUAGAUGCAGCAGUUUAGUUAAUAGGUCUGUUCGACCUUUGAAUCCUUACAUGAUCUGAGUUCAGACCGGUAUAAGCCAGGUCGGUUUCUAUCCUCAUUGUUUUAUUAUACUUUAGUACGAAAGGACCAAGUAUUAUAAAUAUUUUAUUUKAUUUGAUUAUUAAUA